RNAcentral lists this ribosomal RNA (362 nucleotides) under uncultured Glomeromycotina. RNAcentral describes it as "SSU rRNA". It matches the Rfam family "Eukaryotic small subunit ribosomal RNA", at positions 569 to 938 of the family's 1831-position model. Lineage: Eukaryota; Fungi; Glomeromycota. The record is from RNAcentral.
AGCAGCCGCGGUAAUUCCAGCUCCAAUAGCGUAUAUUAAAGUUGUUGCAGUUAAAAGCUCGUAGUUGAAUUUCGGGAUCAAUUGAUCGGUCGUGCCUCUGGUACGCACUGGUUUUAUUGGUUUCUCCCUUCUGACGAACCAGGAUGUCAUUAAUUUGGUGUCUUGGAGAAUCAGGACUGUUACUUUGAAAAAUUAGAGUGUUUAAAGCAGGCUAACGCUUGAAUACAUUAGCAUGGAAUAAUGAAAUAGGACGUUUGAUUCUAUUUUGUUGGUUUCUAGGAUCGACGUAAUGAUUAAUAGGGAUAGUUGGGGGCAUUAGUAUUCAAUUGUCAGAGUGAAAUUCUUGGAUUUAUUGAAGACUA